This 460-nucleotide ribosomal RNA is filed under the name uncultured bacterium. RNAcentral's name for it is "partial 16S ribosomal RNA". It matches the Rfam family "Bacterial small subunit ribosomal RNA", at positions 338 to 795 of the family's 1533-position model. The record is from RNAcentral.
CCUACGGGCGGCAGCAGUGGGGAAUAUUGGGCAAUGGGCGGGAGCCUGAACCAGCCAAGCCGCGUGAAGGAUGACGGUCCUGCGUGUUGUAAACUUCUUUUGUAAGGGAAUAAAGUGCGGCACGAGUGCCUGUUUGUGGGUACUUUAUGAAUAAGGAUCGGCUAACUCCGUGCCAGCAGCCGCGGUAAUACGGAGGAUCCGAGCGUUAUCCGGAUUUAUUGGGGUUAAAGGGAGCGGAGAUGGGUUGUUAAGUCAGUUGUGAAAGUUUGCGGCUCAACCCUAAGAGAGCAAUUGAUACUGGCAGUCUUGAGUUCAGGUGAGGUAGGCGGAAUGCGUGGUGUAGCGGUGAAAUGCUUAGAUAUCACGAAGAACUCCGAUUGCGAAGGCAGCGUACUAAACUGCCACUGACACUGAUGCUCGAAAGCGUGGGUAUCAAACAGGAUUAGAUACCCGGGUAGUC